AGACACAGGCAGAGGGAGAAGCAGGCCCCAUGCUGGGAGCCCGACGUGGGACUCAAUCCCAGGUCUCCAGGGUCAGGCCCUAGGCUGAAGGUGGCACUAAACCGCUGAGCCACCCGGGCUGCCCUCUUUUGCUUUUUUUAAAUUCCACAUGAGUGAAAUUUGAUGGAGACUUGGGCUGUUUCCAUAAUUGGCUAUUGUAAAUAAUGCUGCUUAUACGCAGGGGUGCGUGUAUCCCUUGGAAUUAGUGUUUUUACAUUUUUUUGAGCAAAUUCAUUUUUUAAAAAAUAUUUUGAGGUAGAGAAUGAGCUAGGUGAGGGGCAGAAGGAGAAGCAAACUCUGCACUUAGCAAGGGGCCCAAUGCGAGACUCGAUCCUGGGACUGAUCAUGACCUGAGCCCAAGGUAGGCAUUUCACUGACUGAGCCACCCAGGUGCCCCUUCCUCCAUUACUUCUUCAAAUACUCUUUGCCCCUUUCUCUCUCCUCUUUCCGGGUCUCCCAUGAUGUUCCUUAUUGGUCCUGGUUAUGAUGUCCUGGAGGCCUAUUAGGCUCUGUUCACUUUUGCACAUUUUUUUUUUUUUCCUAUUUCUCAGCCUCAGUAACCCCCACUGUCUUUUCUUCAGUAUCUGAUUCUUUCCUCUGUCUGCUCAAAUCUGCCUCUGAAGCCCUCUGAACUUCUGAGUUAUUGGACUUCACAGCUCCAGAAGUUUUUUGGUUUCUUUUCAGGUUUUCCACCUCCUUAAUGAUAAUUGUUUUGUUCACACGUUUUCUUGAAUUUCUCCACACCUUUAGCUCUUUAAGUACCUGUAAGGCCAUGGUUUUAAAGCCUUUGUCAGACAUGUGUGCCAUUAAGUCUUUUCAAGAACAGAUCCUUUAUUUUUGGGAUGGCUGGGUGGCUCAGUGGUUGGGUGCCUCCCUUCAGCUCAGUACAUGAUCCUGGAGUCCCGGGAUCAAGUCUCACAUCGGGCUCCCUACAGGGAGCCUGCUUCUCUGGGUCUCUUACGAAUAAAUAAAAUCUUAAAAAAAAAUAAAAUAAAGACUUUGUCAGAUUUAUUCCUAAGAGGGCCCAUGAGUGAGUGGCUCAGUCAGUUAAGUGUCUGCCUUUGGCUCAGGUCACUGUCCCAGGGUCCUGGGAUAGAGCCCCACAUCAGGCUCCCUGCUCAGUGGGGAGCCUGCUGUUGCUUCUGCCUGCUGCUCCCCUUACUGUGCUCCUUCAGUCAAAUAAAAUCUUGAAACAAAACAAAUCUGGCAAAGAUGUACAAAAGAUCUGUAUACGUGGACCUAUAAAAUACUGGCAAAAAAAAAAAAAACAGAUUAUAAUCUAUAGAUUCAAUAAUCGUAGAUUUUCUGUAGAAACUGGCAAGCUAAUUCUGAAAUUCACAUGAAGAUACAAAGGACUGGGCACCUGGGUGGCUUAGUUGGUGAAGCCUCUGCCUUCGGCUGGAGUCAUAAUCCUGGGGUCCUGGGAUAGAGCCUGGCAUCCAGCAGCAUUGGGCUCCCUGCUAAGCUAAGCGGAGAGUCUGCUUCUCCCUCUGCCCCUUCCCCUGUUCAUGUUCUCUCUCAAAUAAAGAAAAUGCAAAGGACCUAGAACAGCCAAAGUAACUUUUAAAGUAUAAAUGGCUAGCUGGCUCAGUAGGUAGAACAUGCAACUCAGGGGUCCUGAGUUCAAACCCCACACAGGGUGAGCCUACUUAAAUGAUUAAAAAAAAAAAAAAAAAUUAUAAAAUUGAAAUCAGGUGUUAACCAAGAAUUAAUAGUAAAUCGUCAAUAAUCAAGACCACAUAGGACAAAUGGAUGUAAAUCAUCUUUGAUUUUUAACAAAGGUACAAAAGCAAUGGAGUGGAGAAAGAACAGCCUUUUCAACUAAUGUUGCUAGACAACUCAGUAUCUGUGUGCAAAGAAAAUGAACUUAAAGUCAUGCCUGGACCCGUACCCAUAGAUACAGUCAAAAUGGAUCACAGGCAUAAACCCAAAACCUUUUUGCAUAAAAAUAAAUUUUAAAUUUCUAGAAAACUUAUCUCUUGGGUUAGGUAAUGAUUUCUUAGAACAACAAAAGCACAAUUCAAAGAAAAACAGGGCAGCCCGGGUGGCGCAGGGGUAAACCGCCGCCUGCAGCCCAGGGUGUGAUUCUGGAGACCUGGGAUUGAGUCCCACGUCAGGCUCUCUGUAUGGUGCCUGCUUGUGUGUCUGCCUCUCUCUGUCUCUAUGAAUAAAAAAAAAAAAAAAAAAAAA
Molecule: long non-coding RNA, 2229 nt
Filed under: Canis lupus familiaris (dog)
Lineage: Eukaryota; Metazoa; Chordata; Mammalia; Carnivora; Canidae
Description: lncRNA (ENSCAFG00845001697.1)
Source: RNAcentral